AGGUGAACCUGCGGAGGGAUCAUUACAAGUGACCCCGGUCUAACCACCGGGAUGUUCAUAACCCUUUGUUGUCCGACUCUGUUGCCUCCGGGGCGACCCUGCCUUCGGGCGGGGGCUCCGGGUGGACACUUCAAACUCUUGCGUAACUUUGCAGUCUGAGUAAACUUAAUUAAUAAAUUAAAACUUUUAACAACGGAUCUCUUGGCUCUGG
Molecule: unclassified non-coding RNA, 211 nt
Filed under: uncultured fungus
Lineage: Eukaryota; Fungi
Description: partial contains 18S rRNA, ITS1 and 5.8S rRNA
Source: RNAcentral